Molecule: non-coding RNA, 135 nt
Organism: Pseudomonas sp. VI4.1
Lineage: Bacteria; Pseudomonadati; Pseudomonadota; Gammaproteobacteria; Pseudomonadales; Pseudomonadaceae
Source: Rfam
GGGGGUGUGCUACUCAGCCCGUUUCUGAUUUAUGUGCUGCUGGCGCUGCUGGUGACCGGCGGCUUGCGCCUGUUGUUGCGCCUGACGCCGGUCGGCCGCUGGAUCUGGCACGAAGCAUUAUUCGAUUGCGCCUUG